UCCCUGAGAAUUCCAUCGACGAC
This 23-nucleotide microRNA is filed under the name Haemonchus contortus (barber pole worm). RNAcentral describes it as "hco-miR-5988". The record is from miRBase by way of RNAcentral. Lineage: Eukaryota; Metazoa; Nematoda; Chromadorea; Rhabditida; Trichostrongylidae.